CCAUUUUUGUGGUUUUAGUUUUUGUGUAUCUACCAGUACGGAACACUCCCCGAUGCUGGAACUCGCGAAAUCCUCUUGAAGAAUCGCAUCCAUUUGGAGCCAUUUCGAUUCUUUCUCGAAGAACCCAAUCGCCUUUUUCAAACCAGAUACAACCUCUCAAUGCUGCGAAGCCUUUCUCAUGUCGGCACUGCCACUGUCUCGCUUCCCUGCCUUUUCUUAUCUCUCUUCCCAUAAACUCUGUGCUCUCCCUCUUCCAUCCGUCACCGCAGAUCACGCCCUUCUCCACCGUCGCCGGCUACCCACAAUUUCUGCUUCUUCAAUCAGGAAACCCAGGGCCAGUAGGAAGGUGAGGAACGAUGCAGAUCUCUGCACGGAUAUCCAGGAAUUCCUACGUGUUGUUGGGCUUCCGGAGGGGCAUGUUCCCUCUGUGAAGGAGCUAUCCCAGCAUGGAAGGCAGGACCUUGCAAACAUUGUCAGACGAAGGGGAUAUAAAUUUAUGAAGGAGCUUCUUGUAGCCUCAACAGAGUCUGGUAGGCAGGGGUCUGAUGCAGAGGAAGGCUUAAUUGAUAAAAAGGAUAUAAGUGGUGAACAUAAAUUGGAAUCAACCGUAACCUUAUAUUCCACAAAAGGUCAGGAUGAGAAUGUGGAAGAUAUGGCUGCUGAAAUGCUCCUGACUAGUGAAGUUCCUGUCAAACAAAACCAUUUAAAUAGUGCAGAUGGAGCAAAUAUCAAUCAUGCUUUGAUUUCUGAGAGCGAAAGUUGCACGAAUACAGAAUCUUCCUCCAAUUUAUCAUUGCAGGAGAAGGUGGCUAAGUUUAUCCAAGAUGGAGAGUUAGAUGCGAUUGAAGAUGCAGGUGAUGACAAGGAUUUUUUUGAGCUUGAAGAUGCAACUAAAGAAUCAUGUUCCCUGGGUAAAGAGCACUCUGAAUUGGUGCUUAAUCAAAGCCAUAAUGGUGUGAUAUUAAAUGAAAGUGUAUUGCCAACUAUGCAAGUUGUACUUGCUGAAUCAGAAAGCAAUGCUCCAAGAAAUGAUCAAUCUUCAAGUGAAGGACCUCUGUCUGCUGGUUGUGAUGAGCAAUUGGAUGUUGAGACGAGUAAAAGAGAGAAUCAGAUUGAAGUCAAUCAUCUCGAGUUGGUACUGCAUCAGAAGGAGCUGGAAUUGUCUCAGUUGAAGGAACAGAUUGAGAAGGAAAAGCUUGCUUUGUCUGUUGUGCAAACCAAGGCAGAAACAGAGAUCAGCAAAGCUAAGAAGCUUAUUUUGGAGAAGGAUGCUGAAUUGCAGGCUGUGGAAGAAAGUCUUUCUGGAUUGGAGGAGUGUUACUCCUUUUAAUUGAGGGAGCUGUACUUAAAUAUGUUUGAACACAUCAAAGAGACCUACUUGCUUGAUAUUUAUCUUCGUUUCAAAGAGGUAAGAGCAAUGAUAAGCAUGUUGGUUGGUUUAAGAGUCCUAGAAAGCAAUGCCGAGGCCUACUUUUUAUCAAAUAAGAUCCCAGGUACUUCAUUUUUUACAUUUUCUGAUUUUCCCAUUUGUUCUUCCACCAAUUAAUUUUUGAAGUCAAAACUGAUAGGUACCUGAGUAACAUAACUGUAAAAUCUUGAUUACAACUUCUGCUACAACUUGAAGCUGUUCUAACUGAUGAGAGUAGCUCUAAUUGAUAUUAUUAUGUUCAUCUCAGUAGUAGCUAAUUGAUUUGACUGUUGAUAGUAACAAAGACUUGCAAGUUACUAUUUUGACCUUUGCGCUGCCCAAUCCAUGGCAGACAGGAGAGGCUGGUGGCUUAAUGUGGUUGUGCUACCUAUACAUUUAUUUUAGGUUUCUAUCACCAAUGCAUACUCAAACAUUGCUGGUGUUAUGUCCAGACUUUCUGUGAGAUUGACAGCUUCAAUUGACUUUAUGAAAUUCUAUGAAUUUUAUUAGGUUCAGAUUCAUUACGAGGGUGAAGGUGAAACUGUAGAGGUGGCUGGUAGCUUCAAUGGUUGGCAACAUCGUAUAACAAUGGAUCCACAGCUGUCAUCAAGUAUCUUGGACCCUAUUGGAUCAAGGAAUUCCAGACUUUGGACGGCAACAUUAUGGCUUUAUCCUGGAAAAUAUGAG
RNA transcript from Diospyros lotus (date-plum), 2095 nucleotides. It is a transcript of the gene named protein PTST homolog 3, chloroplastic, with no coding region annotated. The transcript is spliced from 11 exons. The record is from RefSeq and is a predicted model, not a curated record. NCBI's taxonomy places the organism in Eukaryota, Viridiplantae, Streptophyta, Magnoliopsida, Ericales, Ebenaceae.